AGACGUCUACAUUAGACUACCCCUGUACGUCCCAGCCGUAAACUAUGCGCGUUAGGUGUAUCGGUGACCACGAGUCACCGAGGUGCCGAAGGGAAACCGUGAAACGUGCCGCCGUGGGAAGUACGGUCGCAAGGCUAGAAACUUAAAGGAAUUGGCGGGGAGCACCACAACGGGUGGAGCCUGCGGUUUAAUUGGACUCAACGCCGGGAAGCUCACCGGAUAGGGCAGCAGAAUGAUUGCCGGGCUGAAGACCCUGCAUGACUAGCUG
RNAcentral lists this ribosomal RNA (268 nucleotides) under uncultured archaeon. RNAcentral describes it as "partial 16S ribosomal RNA". It matches the Rfam family "Archaeal small subunit ribosomal RNA", at positions 717 to 982 of the family's 1478-position model. The record is from RNAcentral.